This is a long non-coding RNA of Tupaia belangeri chinensis (Chinese tree shrew), 829 nucleotides long. RefSeq lists it as uncharacterized. NCBI's taxonomy places the organism in Eukaryota, Metazoa, Chordata, Mammalia, Scandentia, Tupaiidae. The transcript is spliced from 3 exons. The record is from RefSeq and is a predicted model, not a curated record.
ACUGCACACACUUGCUAUUUUCACUAUACCUCUGCCGGCUCUGCUGAGGUCAGGAUGAUGAGCAGCACCAUACCUGGGAUUACAGAAUCCUCGACCCUCAGGAGCAGAAACACCUCCCUUGCCUGCAGUUUUUCAUGAGAUGCCAUAAAUGUGUCCUGAUUUGCUGCAAAUAAGGAGAGUGACCCAGAGGCUUUGGAUAUUUGGAUGAAAUGGAUUUCUCUAGUUGGCCUAGCUUAGGAGACAUCUCUCAAGCCCUUUCUCCAAGACCCGGAUGCUGCAGAUUUAACUCUGUCCCUGCUAACUUCAGGUCCAACUACAGAGGCCUUCCACCCCUUACCAAGAUCGCAGCUCCUCCCUCCUACGUGACAGUGGGUGAACUCCAAUUUCUGGCCUGAUUUUUCUCUAAUGUAAUUAGCACCAUAUAAAUGUCUUUGCUGUCUACCACUAAUUCAUAUUUGAGUUCUAACUGAUCAUGUCAAUGGCUCCUCUUUCAUGGAGUUUCAAGUUUAGCUUUUAAACCAAUUGCUAGUCCUUAUUCACUUAAACUCAUGAGACACAUGUCAGCUAAUAAGUUAUUGAAUUGGUCUUUGGUCAGGGACAUCAGAUAACCACACAAAGUCAUGAAGAUGAACUGUCCUUUGGACCUGACGGUUAAAGGAAACCGUGUCGAUGCUUCAAUAUGCAUAUUGUGUGACUCCACCAAGAAGAAAAAGACAUUCCCUUUCCACCCCAAAACAAGGAGAGAAGGGGACAAGAAGAGAAGGAAAAGAAUUGUGAGGGAAGACGAUAGCGGAAUUCCACCUAAGGCAGACCCAGGUCAAGGAAUAAA